RNAcentral lists this unclassified non-coding RNA (356 nucleotides) under Hevea brasiliensis (rubber tree). Lineage: Eukaryota; Viridiplantae; Streptophyta; Magnoliopsida; Malpighiales; Euphorbiaceae. The record is from RNAcentral.
GGGAAAAGAAGGGGUAGGUUCUGCUGGUCAGGAAGGUCACUUGUGUACAGCUGCAGCAGAGCUUGAGAAUCAAGCUAGUAUCAGCAAUUUAAAUGGGUUAAGUCGUGGAAAGAGCGAGCAGAAAAGCCUACCAAUUGAUGUUCAAAGCAGUGGUGCAGCAUUGGGCACAAAAGGUUUAGAUUCAGAAUCUUCUCGCACUCAGGCUAUCCAUAGUCUGGAUCGAAAUACUAAUGAUAAUGAGACGUUUACCAACCCAACAAACUUAGACUCAAAUGGUGACUUGAAGGAACAACUGUUGGUGCCAGAGGGAACACCAGUUAUAGAAAGCAAUCUUAAAGAACAGAAAGAGGUGAAAG